GUUUGAUCCUGGCUCAGAACGAACGCUGGCGGCGUGCCUAACACAUGCAAGUUGAGCGCGAAAGGGAGCAAUCCCCGGUAGAGCAGCGCACGGGUGAGUAACACGUGAGUAAUCUUCCUUCGUGUCAGGAAUAACCACUGGAAACGGUGGCUAAUACUCGAUAAGCCCCACAACCCCCUCGGGGGAUGAGGGGAAAAGGGGGGCGCAAGCCUCUCGCACGAAGAUGAGCUCGCGGUCCAUUAGCUAGUUGGCGGGGUAAUGGCCCACCAAGGCGAUGAUGGAUAGCUGGUCUGAGAGGACGAUCAGCCACACUGGGACUGAGACACGGCCCCAGACUCCUACGGGAGGCAGCAGUGGGGAAUCUUGCGCAAUGGACGAAAGUCUGACGCAGCAACGCCGCGUGAGU
This 406-nucleotide ribosomal RNA is filed under the name uncultured bacterium. RNAcentral describes it as "bacterial SSU rRNA". It matches the Rfam family "Bacterial small subunit ribosomal RNA", at positions 11 to 406 of the family's 1533-position model. The record is from RNAcentral.